RNAcentral lists this small RNA (142 nucleotides) under Salmonella enterica. RNAcentral describes it as "RtT sRNA". It matches the Rfam family "RtT RNA". Rfam says of the family: This family represents a bacterial cis-regulatory element known as RtT RNA. The exact function of RtT is unknown although it is thought that it may be involved in changing the cellular response in relation to amino acid starvation. RNAcentral also lists the same sequence under 2 other names. The record is from RNAcentral. Lineage: Bacteria; Pseudomonadati; Pseudomonadota; Gammaproteobacteria; Enterobacterales; Enterobacteriaceae.
GAGCGAUCAUAAGGGAGCUGACUGCAAAUCUGCCGUCAUCGACUUCAAGGUUCGACUCGAGCAAUAGUGAGAGAACGUUGCCGCAGGCAACGGCCCGAAAGGUGAGGAGCUUUAGCUCCGAAUAAUCCUUCCCGCUAUAGAA